RNAcentral lists this ribosomal RNA (457 nucleotides) under uncultured Anaerolineaceae bacterium. Its description in RNAcentral is "bacterial SSU rRNA". It matches the Rfam family "Bacterial small subunit ribosomal RNA", at positions 912 to 1382 of the family's 1533-position model. The record is from RNAcentral. Lineage: Bacteria; Bacillati; Chloroflexota; Anaerolineae; Anaerolineales; Anaerolineaceae.
GACGGGUCCCCGCACAAGCAGCGGAGCGUGUGGUUUAAUUCGUUGCUACACGAAGAACCUUACCUGGGUUUGACAUAGCAGUGGUAGGGAAGCGAAAGCGGACCGACCCUUCGGGGAGCUGUUACAGGUGUUGCAUGGCUGUCGUCAGCUCGUGUCGUGAGAUGUUCGGUUAAGUCCGCUAACGAGCGCAACCCGCGUUGUGUGUUACAAGUGUCACACAAUACCGCCGGUAUUAAGUCGGAGGAAGGUGCGGAUGACGUCAAGUCAGCAUGACCUUUAUAUCCAGGGCUACACACACGCUACAAUGGUCAGCACAAUAGGUUGCCAAGUCGUGAGACGGAGCCAAUCCUCAAAGUUGGUCUCAGUUCAGAUUGCAGGCUGCAACCCGCCUGCAUGAAGAUGGAGUUGCUAGUAACCGCAGGUCAGCUAUACUGCGGUGAAUACGUUCCCGGGGCUU